AUGUGCCAUAGCUGUUAUGUCUGCCCGCUGCUUCUGUCACCUCUGCCCAAGGUGGUCAUCCUGCAAGGGACCAGCCAGACUCCAAUGGCUCCUCCUCUGGCAGAGCCCAGGAGGCAGGAGCUUCUCAUUCACCUACUUGUAGUACAAGUGAGCAUAUCUUCAACAUGUCUUUUUCUCUCUUUAAUUGCAGCAAGUGCCACAGCCCCAACGGUCUUCCCAUUGCCUCCCUGUAGCCAAGACUCCUCUACUGCCUCCCGGGUCUCCAUAGGUUGUCUGGUCUCUGGCUACUUUCCUGAACCGGUCACAGUACAGUGGAAUUCGGGAGCCAUCUCCAGCGGCAUCCGGACCUUCCCUGCACUAUUGGAUUCAUCCAGUGGCCACUACACCCUCACCAGCCAGCUCACCAUCCCAACCAGCACCUGGGAAUCAGAGAAGUUCAAAUGCAAUGUCACACAUGCAGCUACCGGCUUCACAGCCAACAAAGGCAUUGAGCACUCUCCUGCAAAACCACCGGUGGCCCCAGAAAUCCGCCUUCUCCAUUCCUCCUGCGAUCCCAGACAUGCCACCAUUGAGCUGCUGUGCAUUAUCUCCAGCUUCUACCCCAGUAGGGUGACGGUAGAGUGGCUAGUGGGUGGGCAACCUGGUAUGCUAUCCUCGGUCACAGCACCACCCAGGAAGGAUGCCCGUGGAUACACCUUCAGUACCACAAGCACGGUCAACGUUAGCAAAGAAGACUGGCAGGCUGGGAAUACCUACCACUGCCAGGUGUUCCACGAAGCAACCCAAACCAAAGUGAAAAGCAAAGCCAAGAUAUGCGAAGAUGAUACUGUUUGCACCUCCGCUGGCAUUAGCGUGCGAAUCAUGCCCCCAACCCCAAAAGACUUGUAUGUAAACAGAGACCCCACGCUCACCUGUGUGGUGGAGAAUCUAGAAAAUGCAGAUGGGCUGAAAGUCACCUGGUCACGGGCAGAUUCAGGACCCGUGAGCCCAGGUGCAUUGGAAGUGAAAGAAGACCUUAAUGGAAAGUACACUGCUACCAGCUCCCUCCCUGUCACAUCGUGGCUGCAGGGUGAGGAAUUCACCUGCAUGGUGGAAUAUCCAAGCUUGGCUGCUCCCAUCAAUAGGACCAUUGUGAAGAUGACAGGCAAGAUAAAGGCUCCCAAAGUGUUCCUCUUCUCCCCACACAACGAGGAAAUCCGUGCUCGGCCAGCAAUGCUAACGCUCACCUGCCUGGUCACAGGGUUCACCCCAAAAGAAGUUUCUAUCCAGUGGCUGAAGAAUCACAACGCCGUGCCUGAAGAUCACCAUGUCAACACGCCGGUCAUGAAGGACAACAAGAACGACUCCCACUUCAUCUACAGCAAGCUGACAAUUCCAUUCUCUGACUGGAACAAUGGAACCCCUUUCACUUGCAUGGUUUACCACGAAGCCCUCCCUAUGAAGUUCACCCAGAGGACCGUGGAGAAAUCCCAGGAAACAAAGCAAAGAAUAGUGACUGUGUCAACAAUGGAUUAUUACAGCAAUGAGAAAGAGGAGGAACUGGACCGCCUGUGGCGAACCAUUUUCAUUUUCUUUGUUCUCUUCCUCCUCAGUGUUUGUUAUAGUGCCACCAUUACACUGUUCAAAGUAAAAUGGCUCUUUUCCACUGUGAUGCUCCUGAAGAAGCAGCCGUUGGGCCCUGACUAUAAGAACGUGAACCAAUGA
Molecule: non-coding RNA, 1704 nt
Organism: Zootoca vivipara (common lizard)
Lineage: Eukaryota; Metazoa; Chordata; Lepidosauria; Squamata; Lacertidae
Source: the annotation of a RefSeq genome assembly